UUGCAGGCUGCAACUCGCCUGUAUGAAGUCGGAAUUGCUAGUAAUCGCGGAUCAGCAUGCCGCGGUGAAUACGUUCCCGGGCCUUGUACACACCGCCCGUCACACCAUGAGAGCCGGGAACACCCGAAGUCCGUAGUCUAACCCGCAAGGGGAGGGCGCGGCCGAAGGUGGGUUUGGUAAUUGGGGUGAAGUCGUAACAAGGUAGC
Molecule: ribosomal RNA, 206 nt
Filed under: uncultured bacterium
Lineage: Bacteria
Description: partial 16S ribosomal RNA
Rfam family: Bacterial small subunit ribosomal RNA
Source: RNAcentral